CUUUACAGUUGUCUCCCUAGCAACAACCAGACAACUAUAAAAAUUCUAUAAACCAUUUUCCCAUACACUUAGCAAAAUUUUUAUUUAUAUGGGCACCAUAACAAAGAGAAAAAUUGAAGUGGUGAGCUGAAAAUUAAAGUGAAAUAUUUGGGCUAUUCGUGGCAAGAUGAGUGGAAAAUGAAGAAAUUGAACAGCCUUUGCUGGGAUGACCAACCAGGAUCCCCUUUUUCUUUCUUCUUAUUGAUGACAAGCCAGAUUCAGCUAAGAUUGGCAAAUAUGUUGAGGGGUACAGAGAUUGUAUGUCUUAUAAUGGCUCUCAAACUUCCUGAUUUGAACUCUUCUGAUCUGAGACAUGCCUGGAGAUUGCCAUCGAAGCCCCAUCCCCCGAUCCUUUGGUAGUGCCACAUUCUACUAAUAAACUCUGGACAUGUUUCUUGUGAAGGAAACGUGACAAAUAUGUGUGUUCCUGGAAGUCAUUGUGUGAGGUUCCAAGCUCUCCCUCACAUUUAGACUAGUGGGAUCGUAUCUUUCUAAGUGAUGCGACGGAAGAUUUAUAAAUAUUUCCAUUGCAUACUUAAAUGAAGGCAAGUCAGUUUGGCUAUUGUAAGCAUUUUCAGGAUUUGGAUCUUCUCUUUUUUAAAGAUUUCAUUAGGUUUUUCGUGUAUGUAUUUCUUGAGAAUUGUGGGUUCUACAGAUUCUUGUUUUCAGGAUGUAUACAUUCGGUUCUACCUCUACGUGGACGAUGCCUUGUGGUCUAA
Long non-coding RNA from Olea europaea var. sylvestris, 758 nucleotides. RefSeq lists it as uncharacterized. The record is from RefSeq and is a predicted model, not a curated record. The transcript is spliced from 3 exons. Lineage: Eukaryota; Viridiplantae; Streptophyta; Magnoliopsida; Lamiales; Oleaceae.